AGCAGCCGCGGUAAUUCCAGCUCCAAUAGCGUAUAUUAAAGUUGUUGCAGUUAAAAAGCUCGUAGUUGAAUUUCGGGGUUAGUAGGUCGGUCAUGCCUCAGGUAUGCACUGGUCUCACUGAUUCCUCCUUCCUGAUGAGCCGUAAUGCCAUUAAUUUGGUGUUGCGGGGAAUCUGGACUGUUACUUUGAAAAAAUUGAGUGUUUGAAGCAGGCUAACGCUUGAAUACAUUAGCAUGGGAUAAUGGAAUAGGACGUUCGAUCCUAUUUUGUUGGUUUCUAGGAUUGACGUAAUGAUUAAUAGGGAUAGUUGGGGGCAUUAGUAUUCAAUUGUCAGAGGUGAAAUUCUUGGAUUUUAUUGAAAGACUAACUACUGCGAAAGCAUUUGCCAAGGAUGUUUUCAUUAAUCAAGAACGAAAGUUAGGGAUCGAAGACGAUCAGAUACCGUCGUAG
RNAcentral lists this ribosomal RNA (450 nucleotides) under uncultured Glomeromycotina. RNAcentral's name for it is "SSU rRNA". It matches the Rfam family "Eukaryotic small subunit ribosomal RNA", at positions 569 to 1023 of the family's 1831-position model. The record is from RNAcentral. Lineage: Eukaryota; Fungi; Glomeromycota.